This 74-nucleotide transfer RNA is filed under the name Caudoviricetes sp. RNAcentral describes it as "tRNA-Thr". It matches the Rfam family "tRNA". Rfam says of the family: Transfer RNA (tRNA) molecules are approximately 80 nucleotides in length. Their secondary structure includes four short double-helical elements and three loops (D, anti-codon, and T loops). The record is from RNAcentral. Lineage: Duplodnaviria; Heunggongvirae; Uroviricota; Caudoviricetes.
GCUCGAUUAGUUUAAUGGCAAAACACUUGAUUUGUAAUCAUGAAUUGUUGGUUCGGCUCCAACAUCGAGCUCCA